MicroRNA precursor from Trichinella patagoniensis, 73 nucleotides. It matches the Rfam family "mir-252 microRNA precursor family". Lineage: Eukaryota; Metazoa; Nematoda; Enoplea; Trichinellida; Trichinellidae. The record is from Rfam.
UGAGAAUUCUAAGUAGUAGUGCCGCAGGUCACGGUAUUUCAAGUCACCUGCUCUCUGCUACUUAAGAUUCUUA